This 714-nucleotide ribosomal RNA is filed under the name uncultured bacterium. Its description in RNAcentral is "bacterial SSU rRNA". It matches the Rfam family "Bacterial small subunit ribosomal RNA", at positions 108 to 818 of the family's 1533-position model. The record is from RNAcentral.
GAGUAACGUAUGGGGAUCUGCCGAAUGGAGGGGGACAACAGUUGGAAACGACUGCUAAUACCGCAUAAUGUCGCGAGACCAAAGCAUGGGACCUUAGGGCCAUGCGCCAUUUGAUGAACCCAUAUGGGAUUAGCUAGUAGGUGAGGUAAUGGCUCACCUAGGCGACGAUCUCUAGCUGGUCUGAGAGGAUGACCAGCCACACUGGGACUGAGACACGGCCCAGACUCCUACGGGAGGCAGCAGUGGGGAAUAUUGCACAAUGGGGGAAACCCUGAUGCAGCCAUGCCGCGUGUAUGAAGAAGGCCUUCGGGUUGUAAAGUACUUUCGGUAGCGAGGAAGGGGUUAUAUCUAAUAGGUGUAACCAUUGACGUUAACUACAGAAGAAGCACCGGCUAACUCCGUGCCAGCAGCCGCGGUAAUACGGAGGGUGCGAGCGUUAAUCGGAAUGACUGGGCGUAAAGGGCAUGUAGGCGGAUAGUUAAGUUAGGUGUGAAAGCCCCGGGCUCAACCUGGGAAUUGCAUUUAAAACUGGUUAUCUGGAGUAUUGUAGAGGAAGGUAGAAUUCCAUGUGUAGCGGUGAAAUGCGUAGAGAUGUGGAGGAAUACCGGUGGCGAAGGCGGCCUUCUGGACAAAUACUGACGCUGAGAUGCGAAAGCGUGGGGAGCAAACAGGAUUAGAUACCCUGGUAGUCCACGCUGUAAACGAUGUCAACUU